CGUUUUUUGAUUAUGAUAUAAAAUUUAACCUGCCCAAUGAUUAUUUAAAUGGCCGCGGUAUUUUGACCGUGCAAAGGUAGCAUAAUAAUUAGUUUUUUGAUUGAAAGCUGGUAUGAAUGGUUGGACGAGAAAAUUUCUGUCUCUAAUUUAUUUUUUUUAAAAUUUUAUUUUUGAGUUAAAAAGCUUAAAUGAUUUUGAAAGACGAGAAGACCCUAUAGAGUUUUAUAUAAUUAUUUAAAUUUUGUUUUAGGAAUUUUAUAUUUAUUGUUUUAGUUUAUAUUUUAUUGGGGUGAUAAAAGAAUGGAAUUAACUUCUUUUUUAUUUUUACAUUUAUUAGUGAUUGUUUGAGCCUUUAUUUUUGGAUUAUAAGAUUAAAUUACCUUAGGGAUAACAGCGUAAUCCUUUUAGAGAGUUCUUAUCGAAAUGAGGGGUUGCGACCUCGAUGUUGGAUUAAAGUUUAUUAUGGGUGUAGAAGCUUGAUAAUUAAGUCUGUUCGACUUUUAAAAUUUUACAUGAUCUGAGUUUAAACCGGCGUGAGCCAGGUUGGUUUCUAUCUUUAUGAAAUUAUAAUAUUUUAGUACGAAAGGACCAAGUAUUGAGUAUAUUUAUUUUUUUUGAAUAUUAUUGUUACUUUGGCAGAAUAGUGCGUUAGAUUUAGAAUCUUUUUAUGUAAUUUUUACAGGUAAUAUUUGUUUAUUUUUGAUUUAUUUUUAUUAUUUUUGAAUAUAGUUUUAUUGAUUAUUUGUGUUUUAGUAGGAGUUGCUUUUUUUACUUUACUUGAGCGGAAGGUUUUAGGAUAUAUUCAGAUUCGUAAAGG
RNAcentral lists this ribosomal RNA (817 nucleotides) under Rhopalonychus levatorponderis. Its description in RNAcentral is "partial 16S ribosomal RNA". The stretch from base 1 to 592 matches the Rfam family "Bacterial large subunit ribosomal RNA", at positions 1829 to 2925 of the family's 2925-position model. Lineage: Eukaryota; Metazoa; Arthropoda; Insecta; Coleoptera; Elmidae. The record is from RNAcentral.